UACGAAGGGGGCGAGCGUUGUUCGGAAUUACUGGGCGUAAAGGGCGCGUAGGCGGCCGAUCAAGUCAGAUGUGAAAGUCCUGGGCUUAACCUGGGGACUGCAUUUGAUACUGAUUGGCUUGAAUGCAGGAGAGGAUAGCGGAAUUCCCAGUGUAGAGGUGAAAUUCGUAGAUAUUGGGAAGAGCACCGGUGGCGAAGGCGGCUAUCUGGACUGUGAUUGACGCUGAGGCGCGAAAGCGUGGGGAGCAAACAGG
This 253-nucleotide ribosomal RNA is filed under the name uncultured bacterium. RNAcentral describes it as "partial 16S ribosomal RNA". It matches the Rfam family "Bacterial small subunit ribosomal RNA", at positions 524 to 776 of the family's 1533-position model. The record is from RNAcentral.